AGCUAGGAUAGCUACUUUCUCUCAAGUUUCCACGGAAUUGGAGGUUACAAGAAGAUUAAUUAACAAUGUGAUCAACCUCCUCUGGCUUCUUAUAGUAACUGCUAAAUGUUUUGCCAUUGGGAUGUGCUAAUAGAAUUAACUAGGUCAACACUCUAUAAUCUUUUCUUGGAUACACAGAUCACAUUACAUUCACUAAAAAUGGCAGUUAAAAGGAUUCUGCCUGCAUACUGUACCGAGGUCAGCAUGCAGGCUAUAUAAUGAGCUGAAAACAGAGAGCAAGUAUAAGCAACUCAUAAGCAGCCAAGGACCCAAUUUGUAUCAGCAGCAAGAAUGAAGAUAUUCGCUUUCCUCCUGGUGUUAGUGGCUUUAUGCUCACAACAGUUGGUGAAUGGAUCACUUGCGAUAGAUGUGCUGAAGGCAAUUCAGAUGAGCCAAAACAACAAAGAAGCCCUAACACAAGCAUUGGUAUUGCAAGCUUUAAAAGAUUCGUCCAAUGCAGUGAAAGAAUCAAGAAUUACCCAUGAAGACAGGGGUAGAGCCCGCAUUAGUCAAGCAGCGUCUUUCCUAACUAUCCAGGACUGCGAUACUGCUGGAAAUAUUGUAAAUUCCAUAUUGCAGCCGGCACUAGGCUGGAUUCCAGGCAUUGCAAAUGCUGUAAAUGUUUUGGUCAACUGUGGAAUAUCGUCAGGCUGUACACAAGUGAGAGUCCAAGUACCAGCAGGAAAUACCGUGGCUGAUAUUGAUGUUUGCACUGUUAGCGGUGGUGGUUUUUGUGUGGAGGUAUAUGGAGGUUCAGGUUCACCGUGUUCAGGUGGAAUCCCAUUCCCCAUUCCCAUCCCCAUAGCUUCAACUGGAACAACUGCUCCAAUCACACUGACGCUUAACAUACUAGCCAAUUGUGCGAUGAUUAACGUGGGAAAUAUCCAAACGUGUUCAAACAACUAAAGAAGUAAAGAACAUGCGUACUGCUGUAGAAUAUAUAUAGCUGUAUUAAGUGACUGGGAAAUAUAGUGUAUAUACCGAAUACAACUAUAGAAUCUGUUUUGUUGUAUAUUGAAUUCUUAAACGUUAAAGUAUAGAUCUACCAUAGAUAUUACUAUAAUUAUACUGCAUGUAUAUAGAUAUGUGUGUAAAAUACCUUGGGACAGGCAGUAUUCAUAUGAUUGUACAGGAUCGAUGCAUGAGCACAAUUAUAUUGGCAAGCGAUCUGAUGCACAUAGUUGCUCUGAGCUAGAUACAUAUAGGGGUUGGUAGAUUAUGCUUGAUAUAACUAGUGUUCAAGCUGGCGCUGUGCUAAUGCCUCUCGCCAUGUUUUUGCUUUCGCUCAAAAGUAUUAGAGUGUUAUCUAUAAUGAAUUUUAUAUUAAAGUUAGCUAUCUAUAUAAAGUCACUGAGAAGAAAAGACUUAUUUACAUGCAUCUAUUGUUGCUAUUUAUUGUAUUAUGUGGCUUAUUACCAGGACCUCAAGAAAGAAGAAAAUUGAUUCUUCCAGGAUUUGUAGUUCAGUGUAUAUAAUAUCUAAGAAGAAAAGACCUGUGUACAUGCAUAUUGUUAUCUAUAUUGUUAUAUGGUAGUGUUUUGAGGCUUACCAGGCCCUCAAGACAAAGAUGAUUCUGCCAGGAGGAUCUGGAUCUGGAUCUUGGAUAUUAUUUUCUCACACAUGGAAUGAGCGCGCAUGCGCAUUACAUCCACAGGAAUAAUUAAAGGGUGUGUCCAAAGAGAUCAAUUUCACAAAUGGCUACUGCUAGCUAACUGUUUUAACAGAUAUUUUCUGAGUCUUGUAGCUAACAAAAAGCUAGCGCUUUAGUGCAAGGCUAACUCAUAUGUUGAAUAGAAAGUUUGUGGGAACAGAUGAUGCUAUAAAAGAUUCUAAAGAGACUGCAACAGCCUUCAAUGUGAGUCAAACUAGCCAUAACUCGAGAAAGAAGCUUUAGUUUGCUAAUCCACAAGUCAAAAUCCAAGAGAACGUGGCUAGAAGCCUAUAGAAGCUGUUAGUUUUCGUCACAUUGCAACCGUUGAGCAGAUACUGCGUAAGUGUUCAGCUAAUAAUACGGUCAACACAUGUGGUGAAAACUAGCCUCGAACCAGGCCCAAUUUUUGGGCCUGGUUCGAGGCUAGGUGAAAACUGGAGCUAGCUCACAGAAUGGCUUCUGGCAGAAGUUCUACUUGUAGACUUUGUUCCUCAACUACAUCUAGGAAGUAUUUAUUUGGUUUGUUUACUCCUUUAGGAGAGAAAGAGAAGUUGAGUGACCGCUUAAGCACUUUAUUGCUGGUGCCAAUCACCAAGAACGAUACGUUGCCUCAGUACAUUUGUAGGAAAUGCAAGGAAGCCUUUCUUGUAGUGGAAAGAAAGUUGAAGUCCCUACGCAUCCAAGCCAAAGAGAGUUUUGACAAGUUUCAACAAACAGUCCCUAUGCACACACAAACACAUUUCAAUGCACCUACAUGUACACCAGAGUCCCGAAAGCGACCUAAACACACUAGUAGCUUAACGGGAGUGUCACCAUUUACAGCUAGGUCUCGUCCGCCAUCUAAAAAUGCAUCAAGAACAUUGUUUGAAGGAAACCAGCUUUCUCCAGAGAGACCAAUUCCACCUGCUCCUUGUUCGGCAUUGAGCAGCAAUUCAUCUGUAAUAGCUCCAGAGAGACCUCCUCCUUGUCCAAGUGAGAAUCUCUCGCCCACACAUGGUAUGCACAAUGUCAUGUACAAAGAACUUAAUUAUUAUAAUUAUUAUGACGCAAUUAGAUAAAAAACAUGGGUUUAAUCUUGCCUCGUAUACAUGCAUUAGGGGUAACUGUGUAACUAGCAUGGCAAAUCGAUCUGUUACUGAUGAAACGGUUUCGACAUCUGUUAAGGUAAGAACACUUUCGAACCCUAACCCUUGUAGCUAAAUAUAAUAUUGCAGGUAACAGUUACCACCCCAAGUCACUCUGGUGGAAUAAUUAAGCAGCUAGAUACCAAGUUGGAAAAAGUUGGAAGGGCAUUAGCAGGAGGUCACAUUCCUACAAUUGCAAAGGCCGUGUACGCCAAUCCUGACCUUAAAAAGCAACUGAAAAGUAAAUUCUUAUCGGAAGUAAGUACUGAGUGUUCUACCAUGUGCAGGAUAGAAUUACCAAAUAUUAACGCACCAUCAAUGUUCCGGAAGAUACCAGUCGAUGCCAUAUCAGCAUUUUCUUGGAGAAAGUGCAUCCGAGAGCUCGAGUUACAUGCUCCAACCCUUCUUCAGAUGCUCUUGGUAAUUUCGACUCACACCGACCACAGAAACUCAAAAAAAAAAGACGACUCUCACUUUAAAUUUUCUAUUAACAAUUCAACACACCAACUGUUCACAAUGUCUUCACCAUUCAACAUCAAAUCCUACAGGGUCAAUCUUGUGCUAGAACUAGAAUUAAUUGCACACAUACAUCGCAACAGAGUAGCGGGUCUACAGAUUUUGGGGUUGAGCUCAUACCAAAGUAACCGACAAGUUGAGAACGCCUGCAUUCCUUGUCAUUUUCGAGAUAGGAUCGAACAGCCAAUGUCUCAACAUGGCGAGGAUUACUCAAGUCCUUUCUCGAAGGAGCAUCUAUUGGCUUCCAGUAGAUAACAGAUGUAGCAUGAUCACCUGAACGUCCUGAGCGGCCACUUUCUUGAAAGUAAUCGUCAAUACUACUUGGUGCUCCAUAGUGUACAAUAAUUUAUGGUUCAAGUUUACAAAGUUCACUCCCAUGCCUAAAGCAACAGUGGCAAAUACAACUCGAACAGUACCACAAGCUUGCGACAUACUUGAUAUUAUAUGAGCCUUGAUGUGAUCGGUAGUUUGAGCAUGGAACAUACCAAACAGUCGAUUCAUACUAAUUUUGGGAGUCAUCAGGGGGGUAAUAACUAUCGUCUCCAAGUGUUCUAUGAAAAUACUGGUAUAAAUCAGCACACACGUUCUUUGUACGGCAAUAUACAAUAGUUCGAGUUGCUUUGAUUUUGGUAGUUUUUAGUAAUGAGACAAUGGAGGCAAAAUCAGACUCAAUAGUGUUGCGCCUUCUUACUUCAUAAUAUAUGUUAUCACGA
Molecule: long non-coding RNA, 4043 nt
Organism: Halichondria panicea
Lineage: Eukaryota; Metazoa; Porifera; Demospongiae; Suberitida; Halichondriidae
Exons: 4
Source: RefSeq, a predicted model, not a curated record